Cyprinus carpio carpio is the source of this 1287-nucleotide long non-coding RNA. The record is from Ensembl. Lineage: Eukaryota; Metazoa; Chordata; Actinopteri; Cypriniformes; Cyprinidae.
GGGGCAGGGUGAUUCAGAUCUAGCUCAGCUGGUAUUAAACCCUAAAUCAGAACAGCAACAAUGGAAGCUUGAGACGUGACCACUUUUUCAAUGAUGUAGUUUCUUUUACUAUGUUAUCCGUUUCAUAGUGCAAUAUCAGACUUUUUAAUGAGAAUUACAAUUUCUGACUUAAGGGAUUGCAGAUAUGUACAUUAUCUUAUGCCAGAGUUUGACAGUGUUAACCAUUAAGGUGUAACCUGGGAUACGAUUGGCUAUCUUGAAGACGAUCCUUAAAGCGUUAGUUCACCCAAAAAUGAAAAUUAUGUCAUUAAUGACUCACCCUCAUGUCGUUCCAAACCCGUAAGACCUCCGUUCAUCUUCGGAACACAGUUUAAGAUAUUUUUGAUUUAGUCCGAGAGCUUUCAGUCCCUCCAUUGAAACUGUAUGUACGGUAUACUGUUCAUGUCCAGAAAGGUAAUAAAAACAUUAUCAAAGUAGUCCAUGUGAUAUCAGAGGGUCCGUUAGAAUUUAUUGAAGCAUCGAAAAUACAUUUUGCUCCAAAAAUAACAAAAAUUACGACUUUAUUCAGGAUUGUCUUCUCUUCCGGGUCUGUUGUGAACGCGACUGCUGACAGAAAGCUCUCGGACUAAAUCUAAAAUAUCUUAAACUGUGUUCCGAAGAUGAACGGAGGUCUUACGGGUUUGGAACGACAUGAGGGUGAGUCAUUAAUGACAUAAUUUUCAUUUUUGGGUGAACUAAUGCUUUAAUGAUUGCUGUUGCACAAGAACUAGUUAUUUUAAAUAUGUACACACUCAGCCAAAAGUCUAAAAAUUUUAAGAAAAGGAAAGGUAAAUAAAGGAAAGCAUGUGUCCAAUCUACACAUUGCAUGCACUAAAUGUCCUUAUGGAAAUAGUUUGGAAAUUUAGCCGAAAAAAUAAUUAAACUAAAAUUUUAUUAUUUUUUUUUUUAAUUAAAAAAAUGUGUCAACUUUUUGGUAAUUCGUAAAUUUUUCACCAUAGUGGGAUCCAGGAUGAUGAAAAAUUAAAUGGCAGAAUCAAACCAGUGCCUGGAAUUCGUUCAUAUUAAACAGUGUUUAUUAUGUGAAUUAAUUAUACUGUCCCAAAGUCACAAAAUGCAUUGGGUUGUAUUGAACAGGAUCUUGCACUGCUAAUCAAAACACACCAGUCCAACAGUUUAAUUCCAGUUUCUAUUCAGUUGUUAUGAGACAGAGAAAAAUAAUAAUGAUCUUGUCCAACCAUUUUGUAGAUAAUCAAGGUACUUAUCAAAAUACAUUUAUCUAAUCCCGUU